GAGAUGAGGGAAGGACUAAACCCAAAACACCACAAGUAUCAUACAACAUACAUUGCACAUGCGUCCCUAUGCGAGAACCUGAGGGAAGCAUACAAGAUGCUAAGUUUGAACUUGGAUGCUACGAAUCCAAAUGUCCAGCUAGCUCAUUCAAGGGACAGGGUACUGCAUUUCUAUAUUAUCAAAAUGUGUGGUAUACCAAUCCAAAGCAUGGUUUCCCUUCUACAAAUCCAAUAUUGAUGGGGUUCUACAUAAUCACUUAGAGUCGUCAUAAUUCACAUAUUAUUGCAAGGAUUACAGCAUGAUGUAUCCACCAAUUUCCAAUAUCAUGGCCAUCUAAUCUCCAAGGCCAUUUCAGAUCGGUUCGUAAAUCAGUUCGGCAACUCCAAGUAUUCGCACUCGUUAUCCACCAAGAAACAUGGUAUUAUCAUCGAGAUCAUCGGGCUAAAUCCAACUUACUCCGAACCAUGUGGUCUCUCUCAUCAUCGAUACUCUAUUAAGAUUACCUUUUUAAAUCCAAGACUCAACUCCAAUGAGAAAUCUACUCGAUACUCCAAGUCAUUAUGGUAAAAGCAUCAAAUCAUGCCAACUACUUAAUAAAGUCAAUUAUACCACCAAGAAUUAUCUCUCGUGAUCAUAAUCGUCCUACUGAAUCCAACUUACUCCAGGAACAUGUAAGUCAUGCUACUAUAUCAACUUGUUCCACCAAGUUACCCUACCUUUAUAAGGGUCUUACGAUCCACCAAGGUAGCCUAGCUAU
This 757-nucleotide long non-coding RNA is filed under the name Hordeum vulgare. Its description in RNAcentral is "long non-coding RNA (HVUL_LNC007361)". Lineage: Eukaryota; Viridiplantae; Streptophyta; Magnoliopsida; Poales; Poaceae. The record is from RNAcentral.